UACGUAGGUGACCAGCGUUGUCCGGAUUUACUGGGCGUAAAGAGCGCGCAGGCGGUCGUUCAAGUCGAGUGUGAAAGCCCCCGGCUCAACUGGGGAGGGUCAUUCGAUACUGAUCGACUCGAAGGCAGGAGAGGGAAGUGGAAUUCCCGGUGUAGUGGUGAAAUGCGUAGAUAUCGGGAAGAACACCAGUGGCGAAAGCGCUCUGCUGGACCUGCACUGACACUGAGGGACGAAAGCUAGGGGAGCGAAUGGG
RNAcentral lists this ribosomal RNA (253 nucleotides) under uncultured bacterium. RNAcentral's name for it is "partial 16S ribosomal RNA". It matches the Rfam family "Bacterial small subunit ribosomal RNA", at positions 524 to 776 of the family's 1533-position model. The record is from RNAcentral.